Molecule: transfer RNA, 76 nt
Filed under: Candidatus Poribacteria bacterium
Lineage: Bacteria; Candidatus Poribacteria
Description: tRNA-Ile
Rfam family: tRNA
About the family: Transfer RNA (tRNA) molecules are approximately 80 nucleotides in length. Their secondary structure includes four short double-helical elements and three loops (D, anti-codon, and T loops).
Source: RNAcentral
GGGGCCGUAGCUCAGCGGUCAGAGCCUCCGGCUCAUAACCGGCAGGUCCCAGGUUCGAAUCCUGGCGGCCCCACCA